GUUUCUAUGGUUGAAUUACAACGGUGGUUUUUCAAAUCAUUAGUCCUGGUUAGAAUCCUGGUAGAAAUU
This 69-nucleotide transfer RNA is filed under the name Hippocampus nalu. RNAcentral describes it as "tRNA-Glu". It matches the Rfam family "tRNA". From Rfam's summary of the family: Transfer RNA (tRNA) molecules are approximately 80 nucleotides in length. Their secondary structure includes four short double-helical elements and three loops (D, anti-codon, and T loops). The record is from RNAcentral. Lineage: Eukaryota; Metazoa; Chordata; Actinopteri; Syngnathiformes; Syngnathidae.